This is a non-coding RNA of Picea glauca (white spruce), 47 nucleotides long. The record is from Rfam. NCBI's taxonomy places the organism in Eukaryota, Viridiplantae, Streptophyta, Pinopsida, Pinales, Pinaceae.
CUUAUGGUUUUUUUUAAAACCAAACUAAACUAUAUAUAUAGAUCAGU